UACGUAGGGUGCAAGCGUUGUCCGGAAUUAUUGGGCGUAAAGAGCUCGUAGGCGGUCUGUCGCGUCGGCUGUGAAAUCCCGAGGCUCAACCUCGGGUCUGCAGUCGAUACGGGCAAACUGGAGUGUUGCAGGGGAGACUGGAAUUCCUGGUGUAGCGGUGAAAUGCGCAGAUAUCAGGAGGAACACCGGUGGCGAAGGCGGGUCUCUGGGCGACAACUGACGCUGAGGAGCGAAAGCGUGGGGAGCGAACAGG
Molecule: ribosomal RNA, 253 nt
Filed under: uncultured bacterium
Lineage: Bacteria
Description: partial 16S ribosomal RNA
Rfam family: Bacterial small subunit ribosomal RNA
Source: RNAcentral